This is a non-coding RNA of Lepisosteus oculatus (spotted gar), 446 nucleotides long. The record is from RefSeq and is a predicted model, not a curated record. Lineage: Eukaryota; Metazoa; Chordata; Actinopteri; Semionotiformes; Lepisosteidae.
UUUAUAGAUAUUUUAUUCCAGACCCAGUGGAGCGCCUCUUGAAACGAGGAAAGGUGCAGAAAUAUGCCAAAGAAAGAGCAUUUUGCAAUGCUUUCCAGAAGGUGCUUUUAGUUGUAUUGGGUGAUGGGAAGGUGGCCGUGGAGUGCAGGUUAGAUCCAGAUGAGAUUGUGCCGGAUGAGGAUUUGGAAGGACUGAUCCAGGUGAAUGAUAUUUCCUGGAGUGAGUUUGCAGGUGUGGAGGAGGACGAGGACCUUCUGUAUGAUUUGAGUCUGAAUAUGACAGAUGUGCCAUGAGGUCAGACUCUCCUGGGUUUGAUGUGUUAAAGGGGUGCCCUAACUAGUUUCACUGGGGAUAGGGGGAUUGUGAAGGAGAGUCUGUGAUGAGGCGUUUGUAACUUUGGCAGUUUCAUAUUCCAGUGCUAACCUAGGGAUUCUUAAAUAUAUAUA